Small nucleolar RNA from Otolemur garnettii (small-eared galago), 66 nucleotides. Its record names the gene SNORD58. It matches the Rfam family "Small nucleolar RNA SNORD58". From Rfam's summary of the family: snoRNA U58 is found in introns 1, 3 and 6 of the ribosomal protein RPL17 gene in humans. U58 is a member of the C/D class of snoRNA which contain C (UGAUGA) and D (CUGA) box motifs. Most of the members of the box C/D family function in directing site-specific 2'-O-methylation of substrate RNAs. The record is from Ensembl. NCBI's taxonomy places the organism in Eukaryota, Metazoa, Chordata, Mammalia, Primates, Galagidae.
CUGCAAUGAUGGCAUUUCUUAGGACACCUUUGGAUUAACCAUGAAAACAACUACUCUCUGAGCAGC